AUCUGUCUGGUUCAUAAGCAUGAUUGGAUUUUCAUGCUUUUGUGUGAGAUGUGCCUCCCUCUAAACCUUGUUACUAUAUCAGCACAUUACACACGUGAUG
Molecule: small nucleolar RNA, 100 nt
Organism: Sciurus vulgaris (Eurasian red squirrel)
Lineage: Eukaryota; Metazoa; Chordata; Mammalia; Rodentia; Sciuridae
Source: Ensembl